RNAcentral lists this transfer RNA (75 nucleotides) under Loxodonta africana (African savanna elephant). It matches the Rfam family "tRNA". From Rfam's summary of the family: Transfer RNA (tRNA) molecules are approximately 80 nucleotides in length. Their secondary structure includes four short double-helical elements and three loops (D, anti-codon, and T loops). Lineage: Eukaryota; Metazoa; Chordata; Mammalia; Proboscidea; Elephantidae. The record is from Rfam by way of RNAcentral.
CCCUUCGUGGUAUAAAUGGUUAACACGACUUGGCUGCUAACCAGAAGAUUGGAGGUUCGAGUCCACCCAAAGGAG